AAACCGUUCAGGGGUAAACCUGAGAAACCCAAAAGAUCGAAUGGGGAGAUUCAUCGUCAGCUUUUUCGGCUUGCGUGCUGCUCGCGAUGCUUGUCUCGGAGCGUUAAUAGCGCUUUUUUGGACGAGCACGCUGUGGCUGCGCGUGCCCGUUGAAGUCGGCGUGCACUUCUCCCCUAGUAGGACGUCGCGACCCGUUGAGUGUCGGUCAAAGGCCCGUUGCGGUCGCCUGCCGGUGCGCAGCGGUUUCGGCCGUUUGCGCCGCCGGUAGACCCUUUGGUCGCCCGACCGACUGCUCGGCGGUAUAAAUUUUUUCGAAAGUUCAAUGGUAUCGAGCCGCAUGAAUUUAAUUUGAAUGCGUUCUUAUGGCUCGUCGGCAGGUGAGCCUCGUCUCGGAUUUUACGGACCUAGCGCCGUUGUCGAGCGUGGGCUUGCCGUUUCGCCGACGAUGUCCUCGGACGGGCUCUAUAAAGGGCAUUUAUGCCCUUUUGUUACCAGUCAGCGACGCUACUGCUUUGGGUACUUUCAGGACCCGUCUUGAAACACGGACCAAGGAGUCUAACAUGUGCGCGAGUCAUUGGGACUUGUUAAAAAUAAGCCUAAAGGCGCAAUGAAAGUGAAGGUCCGCUCUGAUGCGCGACCGAGGGAGGAUGGCUUCUUUUCUUUUCGGAGCGAAGGAGCCCGCACUCCCGGGGCGUCUCGUGCUCAUUGCGAGCUGAGGCGCACCCAGAGCGUACACGUUGGGACCCGAAAGAUGGUGAACUAUGCCUGGUCAGGACGAAGUCAGGGGAAACCCUGAUGGAGGUCCGUAGCGAUUCUGACGUGCAAAUCGAUCGUCGGAACUGGGUAUAGGGGCGAAAGACUAAUCGAA
This 868-nucleotide ribosomal RNA is filed under the name Megaphragma funiculatum. RNAcentral's name for it is "partial large subunit ribosomal RNA". It matches the Rfam family "Eukaryotic large subunit ribosomal RNA", at positions 402 to 939 of the family's 3401-position model. Lineage: Eukaryota; Metazoa; Arthropoda; Insecta; Hymenoptera; Trichogrammatidae. The record is from RNAcentral.